This is a long non-coding RNA of Andrographis paniculata, 521 nucleotides long. RefSeq lists it as uncharacterized. Lineage: Eukaryota; Viridiplantae; Streptophyta; Magnoliopsida; Lamiales; Acanthaceae. The record is from RefSeq and is a predicted model, not a curated record. The transcript has 2 exons.
AUCUCUCUCUAAUCUCUAUAUAUAUUUAUAUCGCGGAUGGACCUGAACCUUUCUCUCUCUCUCUCUCUAUAUAUAUAUAUAUAUAAAUAAGGGCACAGAAGAAGAAGAAGCACUGAGGCAGCUAAGUAAGGGAAUCGAAAGAGGUGCAGAUGCAAUUGCAGGCGAAACCUACUUGGGAAUUAUUAUUGUUCUUCUUCUUCUUCAUCUCUCUCUCUCUAAAAAGGGUGAGAUGAUCCAUGAGGUUAGAAACUUAACUAAAGUAAUUGAAUUUCCAGUGGGUUUUCAAAGAAAUAUCACACACACACAGGAGAAACAAUUCUAUGAAUUCUCUCUCAAGGCUCUCUCUCUCUCUCUAUGUGAAAUUCUAUGAAUUCUCUCUCAAGGUACUCUCUCUCUCUCUCUAAAAUUCCAUCAAUUCUCUCCCAAGGUACUCUCUAUCUCUCUCUAAAACUUACUUCGAUACUUAUCUGCAAAAAUAAAUCACCAUGACUCCAAUUAGAUAUCACCGUUUGGUUGGUUAA